UUAACUCAAAAUUAGUUUAUUUCAAAUCAUCCUUUGAAAGGAACUCUAACAACAUUUUACUAUUAACUUUUAAAAUGGACAAAUUCCAAUCCACAUAUUUUCCACAGCAGGAAAUGUUUAAUGCGUAAAUGUAUGAAAGGCUUGAAACACAUUUUAAAAGGCCAAAGUCCCCUUUUUAAAACCAACUGUGUGGAUGAAUAGAAUCUGACAGUAGCCAGCAACACAAGCCAGUCUGUUGUCAUUAUGUAACCUGGAGUGAAUCUAGCCAAGCCUCACAGGGUCUUACAGUAGGCAGCCUGGGUCUGUUCCGGACUGGGCCACAACAGAACAGCAGGAACCCUCCCUAGCUCUGGACCCUGUUAGACGUAUCCACAAAGCGUCUUAGUGUAGUGUUUUAGAUUCAAAUGAUUCAGAUUGUUAGGGACAAGGAGGACCUGAUCCUAGACCAGUACUACUCUUAAAGACGCUUUGUGGAGAGACUACCCUCCUCAGAACCAACAGUAGAACAGAGGUUAUCCUCAGAACCAACAGUAGAACAGAGGUAAUCCUCCUCAGAACCAACAGUAGAACAGAGAGGCUAUCCUCCUCAGAACCAACAGUAGAGCAGAGAGAUAAUCCUCCUCAGAACCAACAGUAGAACAGAGAGGUUAUCCUCCUCAGAACCAACAGUAGAACAGAGAGGUUAUCCUCCUCAGAACCAACAGUAGAACAGAGAGGUUAUCCUCCUCAGAACCAACAGUAGAACAGAGAGGUUAUCCUCCUCAGAACCAACAGUAGAACAGGGAGGUUAUCCUCCUCAAAACCAACAGUAGAACAGAGAUGUUAUCCUCCUCAAAACCAACAGUAGAACAGAGAUGUUAUCCUCAGAACCAACAGUAGAACAGAGAGGUUAUCCUCCUCAGAACCAACAGUAGAACAGAGAGGUUAUCCUCCUCAGAACCAACAGUAGAGCAGAGAGAGAGGUUAUCCUCCUCAGAACCAACAGUAGAACAGAGAGAG
Molecule: long non-coding RNA, 999 nt
Organism: Oncorhynchus tshawytscha (Chinook salmon)
Lineage: Eukaryota; Metazoa; Chordata; Actinopteri; Salmoniformes; Salmonidae
Source: Ensembl